GCGAAAGUCGGAUCCUCUCAAAACAUACUGACUGGGUUUUUUACUGGAGUUACAACUCAACACUGCAAUGGGAGCUUAGGAAGUCUAUCACUUCUUUUUCGCGACUUAAAAAUUGUGGAAGAAGAAAAGGGAAAGUGACACUGCAGAAAGUUACAAAAUUAAAAGACAAGGAAAAUGCUGUGGACUGUUAGUUCAUGUUUCUUCCUCUUCGGCGGCUUCCUUAUGGACUGCGCAUCUGCUGGUAAACAAUGCAGAGAGGAACGGAGCAUAAAUGGAAUGGCUCUACAGGGAUUCGUCUUCAAAAGAU
Long non-coding RNA from Orbicella faveolata, 307 nucleotides. The record is from RefSeq and is a predicted model, not a curated record. NCBI's taxonomy places the organism in Eukaryota, Metazoa, Cnidaria, Anthozoa, Scleractinia, Merulinidae.